UACGGAGGGGGUUAGCGUUAUUCGGAAUUACUGGGCGUAAAGCGCGUGUAGGCGGGGAAGCAAGUCUGAUGUGAAAGCCCUGGGCUUAACCUGGGAAGUGCAUUGGAAACUGUUUUUCUUGAGUACUGGAGAGGAAGGGAGAAUUCCCGGUGUAGAGGUGAAAUUCGUAGAGAUCGGGAGGAACACCAGUGGCGAAGGCGCCCUUCUGGACGGUUACUGACGCUGAGACGCGAAAGCGUGGGGAGCAAACAGG
RNAcentral lists this ribosomal RNA (253 nucleotides) under uncultured bacterium. RNAcentral describes it as "partial 16S ribosomal RNA". It matches the Rfam family "Bacterial small subunit ribosomal RNA", at positions 524 to 776 of the family's 1533-position model. The record is from RNAcentral.